GUGGGGAAUCUUCCGCAAUGGACGAAAGUCUGACGGAGCAACGCCGCGUGAGUGAUGAAGGUCUUCGGAUUGUAAAGCUCUGUUGUCGGGGACGAAUGUGCAGUAUUUGAAUAAAGUAGUGCAAUGACGGUACCUGACGAGGAAGCCACGGCUAACUACGUGCCAGCAGCCGCGGUAAUACGUAGGUGGCAAGCGUUGUCCGGAAUUAUUGGGCGUAAAGGGAGCGCAGGCGGGAAGGUAAGUCGGUCUUAAAAGUGCGGGGCUCAACCCCGUGAUGGGAUCGAAACUAUCUUUCUGGAGUGCAGGAGAGGAAAGUGGAAUUCCUAGUGUAGCGGUGAAAUGCGUAGAUAUUAGGAGGAACACCAGUGGCGAAGGCGACUUUCUGGACUGUAACUGACGCUGAGGCUCGAAAGCCGGGGGAGCGAACGGGAUUAGAAACCCGGGUAGUCC
This 450-nucleotide ribosomal RNA is filed under the name uncultured bacterium. RNAcentral describes it as "partial 16S ribosomal RNA". It matches the Rfam family "Bacterial small subunit ribosomal RNA", at positions 354 to 796 of the family's 1533-position model. The record is from RNAcentral.